UUCCUGGUGGCUUAGUUGGUAAAGAAUCUGCCUGCAAUGUGGAAGACCUGGAUUCAAUCUCUAGGUUGGGAAG
This 73-nucleotide transfer RNA is filed under the name Ovis aries (sheep). It matches the Rfam family "tRNA". Rfam says of the family: Transfer RNA (tRNA) molecules are approximately 80 nucleotides in length. Their secondary structure includes four short double-helical elements and three loops (D, anti-codon, and T loops). Lineage: Eukaryota; Metazoa; Chordata; Mammalia; Artiodactyla; Bovidae. The record is from Rfam by way of RNAcentral.